This 237-nucleotide unclassified non-coding RNA is filed under the name rhizosphere metagenome. Its description in RNAcentral is "partial ribosomal RNA internal transcribed spacer region". The record is from RNAcentral.
GAAAUAUAGAGGCUGUUGCUGGUCCCUCCUUGGGACAUGUGCACGCUUUUCUUUUCAAUUUUUCCAACUGUGCACGUAUUGUAGACCUGGAGGCUUUUUAUCGUUGGAAUAGAUUGAGGACUGCUCUUGUGGCUUUGCCUUGCAUUUCCAGGUCUAUGUUAAACACAUUUCACACAAAUGAAUGUCGAAAUAUGGAAUAAUAUAUAUACAACUUUCAGCAACGGAUCUCUUGGCUCU